ACAAGUACCGUGAGGGAAAGUUGCAAAGCACUUUGAAGAGAGAGUUAAAGAGGACGUGAAACCGAUGAGAUGGAAACGGACAGAGCUGGCGUAUCUGGUCUGCAUUCAUCCGUGUGUUCUUGGGCGUUUGGAUUGCCACUCUCCAGACUGGGAUGGUGUUCAUUCUGUUCAGGGGCUCAUGGAGCAUUUGCAGGCGGAGUGCGCUGAGAUGCUCGGAACAGCUGUAUGAGCUUGGCUUUGAGGCCAGCCCUUCGGGGUCUGGUACCCGGGCUGUGGGAGUGCUGUUUGUUCUGGGUGCUGAGUGUGUGCAAUUGCAACGGGUCCGUGUUGGUUUGAGCUGGCGGUCGGUGGCGGUCGCGUGCGACACGUGCCAGCAGUCAGUUCGGUCCUGCUCGGGCUCUCAUUGCAUGUUCUCGGUGUAAAAGCCGGUCAUCUGUCCGACCCGUCUUGAAACACGGACCAAGGAGUUUAGCGUGUGCGCGAGUCAUUGGGAGUUGAAAACCCAAGGGCGUAAUGAAAGUGAAGGUCUCCUUGCGGAGCUGAUGUGUGAUCUCGUGCACCCCGGUGUGCGGGCGCAACAUAGUCCCGUCCCGAUCGCAUGCGAUGGGGCGGAGACAGAGCGUACGCGCUGAGACCCGAAAGAUGGUGAACUAUUCCUGAGCAGGAUGAAGCCAGAGGAAACUCUGGUGGAAGUCCGAAGCGAUUCUGACGUGCAAAUCGAUCGUCUGACUUGGGUAUAGGGGCGAAAGACUAAUCGAACCAUCUAGUAGCUGGUUCCUUCCGA
RNAcentral lists this ribosomal RNA (784 nucleotides) under Globodera rostochiensis. RNAcentral describes it as "partial large subunit ribosomal RNA". It matches the Rfam family "Eukaryotic large subunit ribosomal RNA", at positions 344 to 964 of the family's 3401-position model. The record is from RNAcentral. Lineage: Eukaryota; Metazoa; Nematoda; Chromadorea; Rhabditida; Heteroderidae.